This 616-nucleotide ribosomal RNA is filed under the name uncultured bacterium. RNAcentral describes it as "bacterial SSU rRNA". The stretch from base 1 to 517 matches the Rfam family "Bacterial small subunit ribosomal RNA", at positions 338 to 873 of the family's 1533-position model. The record is from RNAcentral.
CCUACGGGAGGCAGCAGUGGGGAAUCUUGCGCAAUGGGCGAAAGCCUGACGCAGCCAUGCCGCGUGAAUGAUGAAGGUCUUAGGAUUGUAAAAUUCUUUCACCGGGGACGAUAAUGACGGUACCCGGAGAAGAAGCCCCGGCUAACUUCGUGCCAGCAGCCGCGGUAAUACGAAGGGGGCUAGCGUUGCUCGGAAUUACUGGGCGUAAAGGGAGCGUAGGCGGAUAGUUUAGUCAGAGGUGAAAGCCCAGGGCUCAACCUUGGAAUUGCCUUUGAUACUGGCUAUCUUGAGUACGGAAGAGGUAUGUGGAACUCCGAGUGUAGAGGUGAAAUUCGUAGAUAUUCGGAAGAACACCAGUGGCGAAGGCGACAUACUGGUCCGUUACUGACGCUGAGGCUCGAAAGCGUGGGGAGCAAACAGGAUUAGAUACCCUGGUAGUCCACGCUGUAAACGAUGAGUGCUAGUUGUCGGCAUGNANNNAUGUGGUGACGCNGCUACGACAUAAGUACACUCCGCCGUCGGGAGGUACGGUCGCGAAGAAGUUAAACUAACUAAAUUAGUUAAGUUAGUUACGGCGUGAGACGUUCGCCGACGGACGACCGACGAGGGGAGGAGG